CGCCGCCGGGCCAGCUCAGCCCGGCCCGAUACAGACUGGGGUCGGGUUGAAAAUUUUGUUAUUGGGCUCAAUUUGAGUGAGCCCAGCCCGGGCCGAGCCCGAUUAUCACUUCUAUAGCCCAGCCCGGCCUGGUCCGACGGCCUGUUAGGUCACUUGCCCGCAGCCCCCUCCCCUAAAUCCCUAAUCGCAUUUUCUUUCCAGUUUCCAUCGAGGGAGGCAUCGAGGAUUCGAGGGAGGCAGAGACAAGAAGAGACUGUGACCGCGUGCCACCGGCUACCAGCCAGUCCGCCACCGCCACGGCGCCACCGUCUCCGCUCCACCAUUGGGCCACUCGCCACCGUGAUAGUACGAGAUUGGAAUAACUGGAACUCGACACUGGAAGGGGUUGCUUGUUUAUCUUGGGGUUUGGUUUCCUUUUCUUUCCAUCAGAAGUUUGAUUUCAGUGGCAACUUACGUGCUUUUCUUUUAUGCUGGGAUUUUCAUUAUAACCGAGGUUCUGCACUUUGGUUUGAGGUCUGGUGGUUUCUCCUGUAGGAGAAAUGCCUGUUCAGUUGUUAAUAUGUAUCUGAUUGCACUCAAGUCGCCAAAGAUGCCAGCGGGAGCCAUAUUCUUGAGUCCUUUAUUUCUUCAAAUGUUGAUGUGAAGCGGAAGCACAAACUGUACUAGUGCACGUGGCAGUAUGCACAAGCACUUAACACCCAUUUGAUGUACCCAUGUAACCAUGCUCACAUAUAUCUUUGUGACUGUAUUAGAGCAUCUUCAUGUUUGGCUUCUGAACCAUUUUUCAGUGAUGGUUUACUCUUUCUGUUCAUCACCAUUUGGUUUCUCUAAUUCUCAUCUUGAUUUUAGUAUGUUGUCAGUUUGAGUGCCUUUUCUCUCUUGUCUAAUGAAUAUUUUUUGGAAUGGAUGAGUUAUGCUCAUUUUUUCUUUUCAAGCUGUGAUGGUUAGGAGCCUUUAUGCCUAAUUAUAUGCAAUAAAGUUUUAAAUCUUUUUUAUUGUAGAA
This is a long non-coding RNA of Nymphaea colorata (pocket water lily), 1003 nucleotides long. RefSeq lists it as uncharacterized. The transcript has 2 exons. Lineage: Eukaryota; Viridiplantae; Streptophyta; Magnoliopsida; Nymphaeales; Nymphaeaceae. The record is from RefSeq and is a predicted model, not a curated record.